GAUGAAGAACGCAGCGAAAUGCGAUACGUAAUGUGAAUUGCAGAAUUCAGUGAAUCAUCGAAUCUUUGAACGCACAUUGCGCCCGCCAGUAUUCUGGCGGGCAUGCCUGUUCGAGCGUCAUUACAACCCUCAGGCCCCCGGGCCUGGCGUUGGGGAUCGGCGGAAGCCCCCUGCGGGCACAACGCCGUCCCCCAAAUACAGUGGCGGUCCCGCCGCAGCUUCCAUUGCGUAGUAGCUAACACCUCGCAACUGGAGAGCGGCGCGGCCACGCCGUAAAACACCCAACUUCUGAAUGUUGACCUCGAAUCAGGUAGGAAUACCCGCUGAACUUAAGCAUAUCAAUAAGCGGAGGA
RNAcentral lists this unclassified non-coding RNA (353 nucleotides) under soil metagenome. RNAcentral's name for it is "partial contains 5.8S ribosomal RNA, internal transcribed spacer 2, and large subunit ribosomal RNA". The stretch from base 1 to 120 matches the Rfam family "5.8S ribosomal RNA", at positions 35 to 154 of the family's 154-position model. The record is from RNAcentral.